AAAAGCGGAGGAAAAGAAACCAACAGGGAUUGCCUCAGUAGCGGCGAGUGAAGCGGCAAGAGCUCAGAUUUGAAAUCGUGCUUUGCGGCACGAGUUGUAGAUUGCAGGUUGGAGUCUGUGUGGAAGGCGGUGUCCAAGUCCCUUGGAACAGGGCGCCCAGGAGGGUGAGAGCCCCGUGGGAUGCCGGCGGAAGCAGUGAGGCCCUUCUGACGAGUCGAGUUGUUUGGGAAUGCAGCUCCAAGCGGGUGGUAAAUUCCAUCUAAGGCUAAAUACUGGCGAGAGACCGAUAGCGAACAAGUACUGUGAAGGAAAGAUGAAAAGCACUUUGAAAAGAGAGUGAAACAGCACGUGAAAUUGUUGAAAGGGAAGGGUAUUGCGCCCGACAUGGGGAUUGCGCACCGCUGCCUCUCGUGGGCGGCGCUCUGGGCUUUCCCUGGGCCAGCAUCGGUUCUUGCUGCAGGAGAAGGGGUUCUGGAACGUGGCUCUUCGGAGUGUUAUAGCCAGGGCCAGAUGCUGCGUGCGGGGACCGAGGACUGCGGCCGUGUAGUCACGGAU
This 555-nucleotide ribosomal RNA is filed under the name Pichia kudriavzevii. RNAcentral describes it as "LSU rRNA". It matches the Rfam family "Eukaryotic large subunit ribosomal RNA", at positions 46 to 612 of the family's 3401-position model. The record is from RNAcentral. Lineage: Eukaryota; Fungi; Ascomycota; Pichiomycetes; Pichiales; Pichiaceae.